GGAGACGUGACCGAGAGGCCGAAGGUGCUCCCCUGCUAAGGGAGUAUCCGCCAAAAGCGGAUCGUGGGUUCGAAUCCCACCGUCUCCGCCA
This 91-nucleotide transfer RNA is filed under the name Cupriavidus sp. RNAcentral's name for it is "tRNA-Ser". It matches the Rfam family "tRNA". Rfam says of the family: Transfer RNA (tRNA) molecules are approximately 80 nucleotides in length. Their secondary structure includes four short double-helical elements and three loops (D, anti-codon, and T loops). Further hydrogen bonds mediate the characteristic L-shaped molecular structure. tRNAs have two regions of fundamental functional importance: the anti-codon, which is responsible for specific mRNA codon recognition, and the 3' end, to which the tRNAs corresponding amino acid is attached (by aminoacyl-tRNA synthetases). tRNAs cope with the degeneracy of the genetic code in two manners: having more than one tRNA (with a specific anti-codon) for a particular amino acid; and 'wobble' base-pairing, i.e. permitting non-standard base-pairing at the 3rd anti-codon position. The record is from RNAcentral. RNAcentral also lists the same sequence under 2 other names. Lineage: Bacteria; Pseudomonadati; Pseudomonadota; Betaproteobacteria; Burkholderiales; Burkholderiaceae.